GGCCCGGGCGCGCGGCAGGUGCGGCGGCGCAGCUCGCAGGUAGGCGACCGCUGGUCCCGCCGCUGAGGCCCCUCCACUGCCCCCCGCCCGGCACCCGCCGCCGGCACCCCCUCCAGGCCGCCGUGGCCCGCGCCAAACCUGAGUGUCUUGGUCGGGAACUCCGGUAACCCCCUCGGGGCGCGAGGCGGCAGGGCUUUAAGGAUCCCACCUUCUUUAUCACCAGCACCUGAAGGCCAGGCUGAAGCCCCCUGCUCUCAUGGCCAGCUCUGGAAAGCCUGGGGCUGAUGAGGCCCAGGAGGAGGCGGUGGAACUCGAGGGGGGCUCUGCAGAGCCGCAGGCUGCAAUGCUGGAGCAGGCUGAGGAGCUGUUUCUGCUGUGUGACAAGGAGGCUAAGGGUUUCAUCACCAGGCACGACCUGCAGGUGAGUCCCCCGCCCCGAGAGAAUGCUUCGGCCCUGGGCUGACCUCAGCGGCUCAUCUCUGCUCUCCUUCCCUGACCAGGGUCUCCAGAGCGACCUGCCCCUCACGCCAGAGCAGCUGGAGGCUGUGUUUGAAAGUCUGGACCAGGCUCACACUGGCUUCCUCACCGCCCGGGAGUUCUGCCUGGGCCUGGGUGAGCCUGAGACCUGCCUAUCCCCCACUGCCCAGAGCUGGAGGCCUGAUCAGGAGGCCUGGCACGUGUGGUGCCCUGAGGGCUGCCGGUGCCUCUCGUCCUCCUCC
This 719-nucleotide small RNA is filed under the name Pongo abelii (Sumatran orangutan). RNAcentral's name for it is "retained intron". Lineage: Eukaryota; Metazoa; Chordata; Mammalia; Primates; Hominidae. The record is from RNAcentral.